AUUGAACGCUGGCGGCAGGCCUAACACAUGCAAGUCGAGCGGAUGAAGAGAGCUUGCUCUCUGAUUCAGCGGCGGACGGGUGAGUAAUGCCUAGGAAUCUGCCUGGUAGUGGGGGACAACGUCUCGAAAGGGACGCUAAUACCGCAUACGUCCUACGGGAGAAAGCAGGGGACCUUCGGGCCUUGCGCUAUCAGAUGAGCCUAGGUCGGAUUAGCUAGUUGGUGAGGUAAUGGCUCACCAAGGCGACGAUCCGUAACUGGUCUGAGAGGAUGAUCAGUCACACUGGAACUGAGACACGGUCCAGACUCCUACGGGAGGCAGCAGUGGGGAAUAUUGGACAAUGGGCGAAAGCCUGAUCCAGCCAUGCCGCGUGUGUGAAGAAGGUCUUCGGAUUAUAAAGCACUUUAAGUUGGGAGGAAGGGCAGUUACCUAAUACGUGAUUGUUUUGACGUUACCGACAGAAUAAGCACCGGCUAACUCUGUGCCAGCAGCCGCGGUAAUACAGAGGGUGCAAGCGUUAAUCGGAAUUACUGGGCGUAAAGCGCGCGUAGGUGGUUUGUUAAGUUGGAUGUGAAAUCCCCGGGCUCAACCUGGGAACUGCAUUCAAAACUGACUGACUAGAGUAUGGUAGAGGGUGGUGGAAUUUCCUGU
RNAcentral lists this ribosomal RNA (651 nucleotides) under uncultured Pseudomonas sp. RNAcentral describes it as "bacterial SSU rRNA". It matches the Rfam family "Bacterial small subunit ribosomal RNA", at positions 28 to 674 of the family's 1533-position model. Lineage: Bacteria; Pseudomonadati; Pseudomonadota; Gammaproteobacteria; Pseudomonadales; Pseudomonadaceae. The record is from RNAcentral.